UGGGGAAUUUUGGACAAUGGGGGCAACCCUGAUCCAGCCAUUCCGCGUGAGUGAAGAAGGCCUUCGGGUUGUAAAGCUCUUUCGGCAGGAACGAAACGGUGGCCCCUAAUACGGGUUACUAAUGACGGUACCUGAAGAAGAAGCACCGGCUAACUACGUGCCAGCAGCCGCGGUAAUACGUAGGGUGCGAGCGUUAAUCGGAAUUACUGGGCGUAAAGCGUGCGCAGGCGGUUAUGUAAGACAGGUGUGAAAUCCCCGGGCUUAACCUGGGAACUGCGCUUGUGACUGCAUAACUCGAGUGUGGCAGAGGGGGGUGGAAUUCCACGUGUAGCAGUGAAAUGCGUAGAGAUGUGGAGGAACACCGAUGGCGAAGGCAGCCCCCUGGGUCAACACUGACGCUCAUGCACGAAAGCGUGGGGAGCAAACAGG
This 429-nucleotide ribosomal RNA is filed under the name uncultured Sulfuritalea sp. RNAcentral describes it as "bacterial SSU rRNA". It matches the Rfam family "Bacterial small subunit ribosomal RNA", at positions 355 to 776 of the family's 1533-position model. Lineage: Bacteria; Pseudomonadati; Pseudomonadota; Betaproteobacteria; Nitrosomonadales; Sterolibacteriaceae. The record is from RNAcentral.